Molecule: ribosomal RNA, 253 nt
Filed under: uncultured bacterium
Lineage: Bacteria
Description: partial 16S ribosomal RNA
Rfam family: Bacterial small subunit ribosomal RNA
Source: RNAcentral
UACGAAGGGGGCAAGCGUUGUUCGGAAUUACUGGGCGUAAAGGGCGCGCAGGCGGCUGAUCAAGUCAGAUGUGAAAGCCCCGGGCUCAACCUGGGAAUAGCAUUUGGGACUGGUCGGCUAGAGUUCGGGAGAGGAGAGUGGAAUUCCCAGUGUAGAGGUGAAAUUCGUAGAUAUUGGGAAGAACACCGGUGGCGAAGGCGGCUCUCUGGACCGAUACUGACGCUGAGGAGCGAAAGUGUGGGGAGCGAACAGG